UGGAGGAGAACAGGAUGGAGACAAAAGGUGAGAAGAAGCUGAAGGCGAUGGUGUCCCAGUGCUGGAGGUGGUCGGGGAAGUGCCUGUGCUGCCCCCUGAAAAAUAAAAGAAUUAUAUUUGCGUCUGAGGAUGAAACUUACACAAAAGUGUGCAUGGCCAACAAGGACUUUUCAAGGAAUCCUUUUAAUAUAAAGGAGUUUGGGAAGGGGACAGCUGAGAAGGAGGAGGAAGAACAUCUCCCACUUCUUGUUUUUGGAUCACUGCGUGGCCUCGGCGAUAGGGCCGGCCGGGGAAGGUCAGAGAUUCGUUUUCAGCAAGCGGCAUUCCGCACACAGCUUCCUCCUCUUCCACCCUAAACACUAUGAGCUUCGGUGAAAGCAGCGCUGUGGCGCAAGUGGAGAAACUCGACUCCAGCUGUAAAGAGUGAAGAAGGAGUGAAAGAAGGAGAAAGGAAUCACAGGGCAUUUGAGUUCUGAUGGGGAGACUCUCAGGUGUUGGCUUCUGUCCACGGAGCUGAGCAUGUCUGGCCUCCCCGCACUCUGGUGAGCAUAUGUCACAGCUAGAUGCCCGGAUGUAACAGGCUGGAGGAGCCUCCGUGGUUGCGAAUGACAGAGCACUGGGCCCGUGACCACUAUGGGCCCACUAAGCCUGUACACCCAAAGGCUAAACCAGCUCUGUUUCCUCUCUGAACGAUCUUUCCCUCUCGCCUCACCCCUGCCUAGAAUGGAAAUUCCAUGCUCUGUGUCUCUAUUCUCAGAUCAAGCAAGCGGAAUUGAACACAAAUAGGUAGGUUGGUGUCUUUCCCACUGUCCCCAGAGGCCUUAAUCCAUGUCUGAGAGGUGAUUAAAAUGUAAUGCCCUAAGUAGCUGAAAACUCUCUGGUAUUCCAGGACCAAUCCCCCACCCGCCCCACCUCCCUGCAUCUUGUUUUACCCAUGGACCCAAGUGAGGAGAUACUCAUUGAAAUUCAUAUUCAACAUUAACUUGUUCCAAUAUUCAAGGCUCACAGCCAAAAUAACCAAAAAGGAUACAUGUUUAGCAGUGAUUCCAUACGAGGACAAUAACCUAGAAUAUACUUGUGUACCAUGAAGACAAGUACAAUGUGACCAUGAAAAUCCUGAAUACCAAACCUGCUGACUUUUGCAUCUUUAAAUUGAUCACUUCCAGAUUGUAAUAUGGAGGCGUUCACAUACAGUUUCCUUUUGGGUUUAUUUUGUUGUGCUUUCCCCCCCCAAAAAAAUUGAAAAACAGUAAAAACAAGACCCCAUCUGGGCUAGUAAAGAAUAAAUUUCCAUGUAAUUA
Leopardus geoffroyi (Geoffroy's cat) is the source of this 1301-nucleotide long non-coding RNA. RefSeq lists it as uncharacterized. The record is from RefSeq and is a predicted model, not a curated record. NCBI's taxonomy places the organism in Eukaryota, Metazoa, Chordata, Mammalia, Carnivora, Felidae. The transcript has 3 exons.